GAGUGAAAGUUUCCAAUCUGUUCGGAUCAGGAAAAUCCUCGAUGAGAUAAUUCAAGGUGACGGCAAUGCCUAUCAAUAUGAAUAUGGAACCGAGCAUGGUCAAUGGCGCCAGAUACUUGAAACUUGGAAAACCAAAUAAACAGUAAGUGCCAAUAAAUAAAACGUGCUGCAGUUCGACACUCGAAGCAAAUUUACGAUUUGUCUCACAUCUUUUCCUCAAUUAUGCAUCGAGGAAGAUGAUGCACAUGGAAUUUCCACGUGUCUUUUAAAGAUUGUUAGUAAACUAAUUAAACGUCUGUAGUUUAAAACUUAUAGAAAUUAAUUACUAUCUUCGUCAUACGUGCGAGAAAUCUAAUAAAAUUCUCGAGUAUGUUUUUAUGUAAUGUUAUAAAAGUUAUGACAAUUUUGAUUUCUAAAGUGAAAGUUUCGUAAACCAAUAGAAACGACUGAAAUCGUAGGAAUAUUUUUUUGAUAUGCAUCGACGAAUCAAUAGAAAUAAGAAACAAUAAUGAAAUA
Molecule: long non-coding RNA, 516 nt
Organism: Apis cerana (Asiatic honeybee)
Lineage: Eukaryota; Metazoa; Arthropoda; Insecta; Hymenoptera; Apidae
Source: RefSeq, a predicted model, not a curated record